Hibiscus syriacus is the source of this 595-nucleotide long non-coding RNA. RefSeq lists it as uncharacterized. The transcript is spliced from 4 exons. NCBI's taxonomy places the organism in Eukaryota, Viridiplantae, Streptophyta, Magnoliopsida, Malvales, Malvaceae. The record is from RefSeq and is a predicted model, not a curated record.
CCGCAUAUCCCAUUCUCUCAACCUCUCCCAUUCCUUCACUCGGCCACGCACAACGCCACUCUCAACCCCUCUCCCUCUUUCGGCCAGGUAACGGCGCUACAAGACAGGGCUAAACGCGCCCCGGCCACCGCCUAACGAUGGUCUACUUUGCUUUGAAUGGCCACCCCAAACCGACUGGAAUAUCAAACCAGCCCUAACCUAAGCCAGACUGAGACCUCGACUAGCCUUCCCUCUCUUCUGUCUCACUCAACCGAGAACCAAAUCGCACUAAAAUGGGUCACCUAUUCCAUUCGACACUACCCUAACUUAAUGGCAAUAGGAGCUCGAUUUCUUCAAAGAGCCCGAACGGUGAUGAAAUGGAAUCAAUGAGACCCUACUGGAACUCGCACAACUCGGGUUUCCCGUGAAAUGUUGAAGAUGGCAUUACUGGCUAAAGCAUGGGUCUUGUUCGGUGGGUGACAGCAGCACGUGGGAGGCAUGAGCUUGGAAUAUCAGAUAUGGGAAUGUUGAUCCACUCUACUAUUCUUCAGGGAAGAUUGAAUCGGGGUAGACUUGUUCCGUUGUCACUCAUGGAAUAUCAAAUCUUGGAAAAAGA